Molecule: microRNA, 21 nt
Filed under: Pteropus alecto (black flying fox)
Lineage: Eukaryota; Metazoa; Chordata; Mammalia; Chiroptera; Pteropodidae
Description: pal-miR-10014-3p
Source: miRBase by way of RNAcentral
UUGGUUAACACAGACUCGGGA